AUGAUGUGGAAUAGCAAUAGUAAAAUUACAAAACCAUGAUAGGAAGGAAAGGAAGGAAGGAAGACUCAAUUGUAUGGUCUCAUACUUCAGAUAGCUAUGGAUAACCAGCAUGUACCCAGCUAAAUCCCCUGAUAGCUGCUCCAUCAUUCCAAGUGAGUGGCAUACUUUAUCAAAGUGUAUGUACCACACUGAAACAAAAAGGAUAAUAAUCUGCCCAAGUCUACAUGAAAUUUGAAGACUAAAGAAGUGCUUCAGAAUAGUUUAAUUUUUCCCAGCCUUUUCUUUGUGUUAUAUAGUUAUAUGUCCUUUAGCUACCCCUAAGAGAGUUUGAGCUACAGGAGAUGAAGAGAAUACCUGAUCUCAGAAAUAUUUGAUAUCUUUUUUUUUUUUUUAAUGAAAAAGUGUGAGGGAGGCAUAGGAAGUAGCUACUGGAUUUCAGUGGGGGUAACUAAUUUUAUGUUAGAGGACUACAUAUGACAAAUUGAUGCCGUCUCUUACUUGUCACAAGAGUUGCUAACUUACUGGUCUCCAGAGUUCUUUGGAAAUUUGCAAUUCAUGAAAAAAAAUCUGUAAGCAAUGAAAUUGAUACAGACAUAUGAAGGUGAAAAACACAGGGAAAAGGUGGAUACUAAGGAAAUCAAGGAUAUAAACUAUUUUUCUGAUGCACAGUAUACGAUCUAACAUUAAGUAGCCAUCGUGUUAGAAAUAUUUGGAAUUUUUUCAUGACAGAGAAAAAUAUAUAUAUCUUAAGUUCACUGUCUGGUGAUUUGUCAAAGUUGUCCACAAAACAGAAAUUCUGGUUUUUGUUAAUUUGCUGAUUGGUAGAUCUUAUCUUAGCCUUCUAUUACUAUUUUAAAUAACUAAAUAAGAGACAACUAAAUUAUCUACCAACAUUUUAGAUAUCCUAUUAAUAAUUUUUCAUAGUAUUCCUAAAUGUUUCAGUCUUUGGAAAGCAUACGCAGACCACUAGGCUGGACAGAACAAUAAAUGGAAAAAAUAGUGGCAACAGAAAGCAAUCGACUUUGCUGCACCCAAAUAUCUGGUCCUUGGUAUUCCUUCCUACAUUUUUUUUUUUUCCACUAAAAAUGAAAAAGCAGAAUUAUCUGUGAGAUUCUCUUCCUGUCUUUCUCUAGCAUCCGUCUUCUCUUUCUUGGCAUGUAAAGCUUCCAGCAGUCUGUUACAUGGCUGAGAAGUUUGUUAUAUUGGAGUUCUGGUAAGGCAGAAAAAAUGGAAAUGAAGCCAGAUCACUGCCUAGGCAGCAAGUACUGCAUGAGGAACUGAGGCAUGGGAGUUUGAAACCUCUCACUUCUAUUCCUGCCUCAGGUAAAGAAGCUGCAAAUAAGUGGGAAUAUACCACGUGCUCAAACCUGUUAGGUUUCUUUGGAGAGUAUGGAAUAGUGGCAUAGUCUUCUCCCACCGUUUAGUUUUUCUUUUCUAACUGGAAUGGUAUGAAGCUUGAAGUGUUGAAUAAAAUCCAGAUAGUUUUG
Gallus gallus (chicken) is the source of this 1487-nucleotide long non-coding RNA. The record is from Ensembl. Lineage: Eukaryota; Metazoa; Chordata; Aves; Galliformes; Phasianidae.